GACGAACCGUCCUAACGUUGUUCGGAAUCACUGGGCUUAAAGGGCGCGUAGGCGGCUUGCCAAGUCAGGGGUGAAAUCCUGCAGCUUAACUGUAGAAGGGCCUUUGAUACUGGCGAGCUCGAGGGAGGUAGGGGUAUGUGGAACUUCCGGUGGAGCGGUGAAAUGCGUAGAUAUCUGGAGGAAUACCGGUGGCGAAGGCGGCAUCCUGGACCGGCAUUGACGCUGAGGAGCGAAAGCUAGGGGAGCAAACGGG
Molecule: ribosomal RNA, 253 nt
Filed under: uncultured bacterium
Lineage: Bacteria
Description: partial 16S ribosomal RNA
Rfam family: Bacterial small subunit ribosomal RNA
Source: RNAcentral